Long non-coding RNA from Ornithodoros turicata, 1135 nucleotides. RefSeq lists it as uncharacterized. Lineage: Eukaryota; Metazoa; Arthropoda; Arachnida; Ixodida; Argasidae. The record is from RefSeq and is a predicted model, not a curated record. The transcript has 4 exons.
UUUUUUUUUGUCCCCUAGUCUCGGGUUUUAUGGUAGGGUAGUCUCGGAUUAGGUGUCAGAAAAAGUAAGCUCAUCACAAGCAAGAACUAACCAAGGACCAUGGGAUAACAUACCUUAUAAAGCCCAGCCAACCUGACCUGUAAAUGACAAACAGAACUAUUGAAACACAUACUUCAGAGACUCCGAUGACAGAGUCGAAUAACCUUCAUCAGCAGUGAGUAUGAGAUCAGGACUGAAUGACUUCUUACCAAUUGAAGAUCACUUGUACAACAGUGCCUGGAAUGAGAAUGAAGAUCAAGUCAGAUCACAGCAUACACAUUUAUCUGAUGGCAGCUCAACAGAAAACUCAGCUCUGCUGUAUCAUCGUGAUUCAGAAACACAGACCAAGUAGAAAAUAUCAUCACAACAUUUAUACUUUGUCCUCCCAAGAGAAGUACACACAAAAGCCUUGAACCUUACCAUGAACAGUACACCACGUGUAGCUCAGCUUCUUCGGGUGCCACAAUGGAUAAGGAGAGAGAGCAUUAAACGGCUCCUGAAAAGGAAAGACAUCCGCCCUCAGACAACGUAGCAAGCGAAAUCGUUCUUAAAAUAAGCACGUUGUCAGGUUUUGGAAAACGCAUCAAGGGUAUGUGUCAGAGACUCUAGUCAAAUUUCAUCAUAAUAUACACAGUACCGCAGUACUGAACAUUUACUCACAUGUAAUUAUGUUGCCUGGCGUAUUUCCCAGGAGCCGUGUGGGGGUCAAGAAAACCUGCGCAAAGUGGCACUUCGUUAGGAAGCAGUUCCACAAAGACUUAGAAUGCACGCGCCAGUUAAAACACACUGUAAAUCUCAGACAAAUGCCUCAUUGUCAGCACUUGGCAUUCACGCAGCUCAACCAUGCUGUAGAACACAACAAUAGAAUCGCCGAGCAUGAACGUUCAGCCUCGUCAUCGUUGUCAUCACUGGUUUCGGAUGUUGAAGAUGAAAUGCGAUUGCUCACCUCAACACGAACGCACGUAGAACCCAACGAGACGGACAACCAAGAUGGACGAGCUGGAAUGGAGAGGAGAGGCUCGAGGAAACGGAAAUGGGCGCAUUUAUAGUGGCGCGCGCACUACACUAGGGCCACCUGGCAUCGGCGGCAUGUUUA